Potamilus streckersoni is the source of this 74-nucleotide non-coding RNA. The record is from the annotation of a GenBank genome assembly. Lineage: Eukaryota; Metazoa; Mollusca; Bivalvia; Unionida; Unionidae.
GCUUUGCUGGCCUAAGUGGUUAGAGUGUCUGCCUCGGAUGCAGGAGGUUGUGGGUUCAAUCCCCGUUCAAGUCA